AUUGAACGCUGGCGGCAGGCCUAACACAUGCAAGUCGAGCGAGUGGCGGACGGGUGAGUAAUGUCUGGGGAACUGCCUGAUGGAGGGGGAUAACUACUGGAAACGGUAGCUAAUACCGCAUACCAUCAGAUGUACCCAUAUGGGAUUAGCUAGUAGGUGGGGUAACGGCUCACCAAGGCGACGAUCCCUAGCUGGUCUGAGAGGAUGACCAGCCACACUGGGACUGAGACACGGUCCAGACUCCUACGGGAGGCAGAAGUGGGGAAUAUUGCACAAUGGGCGCAAGCCUGAUGCAGCCAUGCCGCGUGUAUGAAGAAGGCCUUCGGGUUGUAAAGUACUUUCAGUGGGGAGGCGUUACCGGCAGAAGAAGCACCGGCUAACUCCGUGCCAGCAGCCGCGGUAAUAC
RNAcentral lists this ribosomal RNA (406 nucleotides) under uncultured bacterium. Its description in RNAcentral is "partial 16S ribosomal RNA". It matches the Rfam family "Bacterial small subunit ribosomal RNA", at positions 30 to 526 of the family's 1533-position model. The record is from RNAcentral.